This 532-nucleotide small RNA is filed under the name Pan troglodytes (chimpanzee). RNAcentral describes it as "processed transcript". Lineage: Eukaryota; Metazoa; Chordata; Mammalia; Primates; Hominidae. The record is from RNAcentral.
AGAGAGAAAAAGUAAAAGACCGAAGAAGGAGGCUGGAGAGACCAGGAUCCUUCCAGCUGAAUAAAGUCAGCCACAAAGCAGACUAGCCAGCCGGCUACAAUUGGAGUCAGAGUCCCAAAGACAUGGGCUUGUUAGAGUGCUGUGCAAGAUGUCUGGUAGGGGCCCCCUUUGCUUCCCUGGUGGCCACUGGAUUGUGUUUCUUUGGGGUGGCACUGUUCUGUGGCUGUGGACAUGAAGCCCUCACUGGCACAGAAAAGCUAAUUGAGACCUAUUUCUCCAAAAACUACCAGGACUAUGAGUAUCUCAUCAAUGUGAUCAUCCUCAGGAUUUUGUGGCAAUAACAAGGGGUGGGGGAAAAUUGGGCGCGAGUCUGUGGCCUCGUCCCCACCCAAGGCUGGGUCCUCUCUAGGGGCCUGGCAUUUGAGUGAGGAAGCGAUGGCUGCAGCCGAACGAGAAGGUCAGGAAGAACGUGGUGCCCAGCUGGCUUAGCCUCACCUUUCAAAGGUUCCCUAAGCAAAUUUCUUCUCAAAAC